Molecule: ribosomal RNA, 1387 nt
Filed under: Aurantiochytrium sp.
Lineage: Eukaryota; Bigyra; Thraustochytrida; Thraustochytriidae
Description: SSU rRNA
Rfam family: Eukaryotic small subunit ribosomal RNA
Source: RNAcentral
GUAGUCAUAUGCUUGUCUCAAAGAUUAAGCCAUGCAUGUGUAAGUAUAAGCGAUUGUACUGUGAGACUGCGAACGGCUCAUUAUAUCAGUAAUAAUUUCUUCGGUAGUUUCUUUUAUAUGGAUACCUGCAGUAAUUCUGGAAAUAAUACAUGCUGUAAGAGCCCUGUAUGGGGCUGCACUUAUUAGAUUGAAGCCGAUUUUAUUGGUGAAUCAUGAUAAUUGAGCAGAUUGACUUUUUGAGUCGAUGAAUCGUUUGAGUUUCUGCCCCAUCAGUUGUCGACGGUAGUGUAUUGGACUACGGUGACUAUAACGGGUGACGGAGAGUUAGGGCUCGACUCCGGAGAGGGAGCCUGAGAGACGGCUACCAUAUCCAAGGAUAGCAGCAGGCGCGUAAAUUACCCACUGUGGACUCCACGAGGUAGUGACGAGAAAUAUCGAUGCGAAGCGUGUAUGCGUUCUGCUAUCGGAAUGAGAGCAAUGUAAAACCCUCAUCGAGGAUCAACUGGAGGGCAAGUCUGGUGCCAGCAGCCGCGGUAAUUCCAGCUCCAGAAGCAUAUGCUAAAGCUGUUGCGGUUAAAAAGCUCGUAGUUGAAUUUCUGGCAUGGGCGACCGGUGCCUUCCCUGAAUGGGGAUUGAUUGUCUGUGUUGCCUUGGCCAUCUUUCUCAUGCUAUUUUGGUAUGAGAUUUUUCACUGUAAUCAAAGCAGAGUGUUCCAAGCAGGUCGUAUGACCGGUAUGUUUAUUAUGGGAUGAUAAGAUAGGACUUGGGUGCUAUUUUGUUGGUUUGCACGCCUGAGUAAUGGUUAAUAGGAACAGUUGGGGGUAUUCGUAUUUAGGAGCUAGAGGUGAAAUUCUUGGAUUUCCGAAAGACGAACUAGAGCGAAGGCAUUUACCAAGCAUGUUUUCAUUAAUCAAGAACGAAAGUCUGGGGAUCGAAGAUGAUUAGAUACCAUCGUAGUCUAGACCGUAAACGAUGCCGACUUGCGAUUGUUGGGUGCUUUUUUAAUGGGCCUCAGCAGCAGCACAUGAGAAAUCAAAGUCUUUGGGUUCCGGGGGGAGUAUGGUCGCAAGGCUGAAACUUAAAGGAAUUGACGGAAGGGCACCACCAGGAGUGGAGCCUGCGGCUUAAUUUGACUCAACACGGGAAAACUUACCAGGUCCAGACAUAGGUAGGAUUGACAGAUUGAGAGCUCUUUCAUGAUUCUAUGGGUGGUGGUGCAUGGCCGUUCUUAGUUGGUGGAGUGAUUUGUCUGGUUAAUUCCGUUAACGAACGAGACCUCGGCCUACUAAAUAGUGCGUGGCAUGGCAACAUAGUGCGUUUUAACUUCUUAGAGGGACAUGUCCGGUUUACGGGCAGGAAGUUCGAGGCAAUAACAGGUCUGUGAUGC